RNAcentral lists this ribosomal RNA (1287 nucleotides) under Capnocytophaga sp. RNAcentral describes it as "bacterial SSU rRNA". It matches the Rfam family "Bacterial small subunit ribosomal RNA". Lineage: Bacteria; Pseudomonadati; Bacteroidota; Flavobacteriia; Flavobacteriales; Flavobacteriaceae. RNAcentral also lists the same sequence under 2 other names. The record is from RNAcentral.
GAUGAACGCUAGCGGCAGGCCUAACACAUGCAAGUCGAGGGACCGGCGUACGGGUGCGUAACGCGUAUACAAUCUGCCUUUCACUGGGGGAUAGCCCGAAGAAAUUUGGAUUAAUACCCCAUAGUUAAAGGUGGUGAAAGAUGAGUAUGCGUUCUAUUAGCUAGUUGGAGAGGUAACGGCUCCCCAAGGCGAUGAUAGAUAGGGGUUCUGAGAGGGAUGUCCCCCACACUGGUACUGAGAUACGGACCAGACUCCUACGGGAGGCAGCAGUGAGGAAUAUUGGACAAUGGUCGGAAGACUGAUCCAGCCAUGCCGCGUGCAGGAUGACGGCCUAUGGGUUGUAAACUGCUUUUGUAAGGGAAGAUGACGGUACCUUACGAAUAAGCAUCGGCUAACUCCGUGCCAGCAGCCGCGGUAAUACGGAGGAUGCGAGCGUUAUCCGGAAUCAUUGGGUUUAAAGGGUCUGUAGGCGGGCUGGUAAGUCAGAGGUGAAAGCGCUUAGCUCAACUAAGCAACUGCCUUUGAAACUGUUGGUCUUGAAUGGUUGUGAAGUAGUUGGAAUGUGUAGUGUAGCGGUGAAAUGCUUAGAUAUUACACAGAACACCGAUAGCGAAGGCAUAUUACUAACAAUAUUGACGCUGAUGGACGAAAGCGUGGGGAGCGAACAGGAUUAGAUACCCUGGUAGUCCACGCUGUAAACGAUGGAUACUAGCUGUUUGGUAUUGAGUGGCUAAGCGAAAGUGAUAAGUAUCCCACCUGGGGAGUACGUUCGCAAGAAUGAAACUCAAAGGAAUUGACGGGGGCCCGCACAAGCGGUGGAGCAUGUGGUUUAAUUCGAUGAUACGCGAGGAACCUUACCAAGGUUUAAAUGGUCAAGGUGCUGCAUGGUUGUCGUCAGCUCGUGCCGUGAGGUGUCAGGUUAAGCCCUAUAACGAGCGCAACCCCUGCCAUUAGUUGCUAACGAUCGAGCCCUCUAAUGGGACUGCCGGUGCAAACCGGAGGAAGGUGGGGAUGACGUCAAAUCAUCACGGCCCUUACAUCUUGGGCUACACACGUGCUACAAUGGCCGUCAGAGAGCAGCCACUGCGUGAGCAGGCGCGAAUCUAUACGGUCACAGUUCGGACGGAGUCUGCAACUCGACUCCGGAAGCUGGAAUCGCUAGUAAUCGGAUAUCAGCCAUGAUCCGGUGAAUACGUUCCCGGGCCUUGUACACACCGCCCGUCAAGCCAUGGAAGCUGGGAGUACCUGAAGACGGUUGCUGUUUAGGGUAAAACUAGUGACUGGGGC